GCCAGGUGCAGUGGCGCACGCCUGUCAUCCCAGCAGCUUGGGAGGCUGAGGCAGGAGGAUCGCGAGUUCAAAGCCAGCCUCAGCAACUUAGCGAGGCCCAAGCAACUCAAUGAGACCCUGUCUCUA
This 126-nucleotide small RNA is filed under the name Marmota monax (woodchuck). Lineage: Eukaryota; Metazoa; Chordata; Mammalia; Rodentia; Sciuridae. The record is from RNAcentral.